AUUGAACGCUGGCGGCAGGCCUAACACAUGCAAGUCGAGCGAGCGGCGGACGGGUGAGUAAUGUAUGGGGACUGCCCGAUAGAGGGGGAUAACUACUGGAAACGGUAGCUAAUACCGCAUACUAUCGGAUAACCCAGCUGGGAUUAGCUAGUAGGUGAGGUAAUGACUCACCAUGGAAACGAUCCGUAGCUGGGUUGAGAGGACGACAAGCCACACUGGGACUGAGACACUGCCCAGACUCCUACGGAGGCAGCAGUGGGGAAUUUUGGACAAUGGGGGAAACCCUGAUCCAGCCAUCCCGCGUGUAUGAUGAAGGCCUUCGGGUUGUAAAGUACUUUUGGCAGAGAAGCGGUAUCUGCAGAAUAAGCACCGGCUAACUACGUGCCAGCCGCCGCGGUAAUAC
Molecule: ribosomal RNA, 403 nt
Filed under: uncultured bacterium
Lineage: Bacteria
Description: partial 16S ribosomal RNA
Rfam family: Bacterial small subunit ribosomal RNA
Source: RNAcentral